This 29-nucleotide non-coding RNA is filed under the name Mus musculus (house mouse). Lineage: Eukaryota; Metazoa; Chordata; Mammalia; Rodentia; Muridae. The record is from RNAcentral.
UACAAAUAGCGGAGCCACUGGGUGUGUGU